RNAcentral lists this ribosomal RNA (453 nucleotides) under uncultured eubacterium WR8153. RNAcentral's name for it is "bacterial SSU rRNA". It matches the Rfam family "Bacterial small subunit ribosomal RNA", at positions 29 to 527 of the family's 1533-position model. The record is from RNAcentral.
AACGAACGCUGGCGGCAUGCCUAACACAUGCAAGUCGAACGAAGGCUUCGGCCUUAGUGGCGCACGGGUGAGUAACGCGUGGGAAUCUGCCUAUCAGUGGGGAAUAACGACGGGAAACUGUCGCUAAUACCGCAUACGCCCUUCGGGGGAAAGAUUUAUCGCUGAUAGAUGAGCCCGCGUACGAUUAGCUAGUUGGUGAGGUAAUGGCUCACCAAGGCUACGAUCGUUAGCUGGUCUGAGAGGAUGAUCAGCCACACUGGGACUGAGACACGGCCCAGACUCCUACGGGAGGCAGCAGUGGGGAAUAUUGGACAAUGGGCGAAAGCCUGAUCCAGCAAUGCCGCGUGAGUGAUGAAGGCCUUAGGGUUGUAAAGCUCUUUCGGGUGGGACGAUGAUGACGGUACCACCAGAAGAAGCCCCGGCUAACUUCGUGCCAGCAGCCGCGGUAAUACG